AACUUUCAACAACGGAUCUCUUGGCUCUCGCAUCGAUGAAGAACGCAGCGAAAUGCGAUAAGUAAUGUGAAUUGCAGAAUUCAGUGAAUCAUCGAAUCUUUGAACGCAAAUUGCGCCCUUUGGUAUUCCGAAGAGCAUGCCUGUUUGAGUGUCAUA
Molecule: ribosomal RNA, 156 nt
Filed under: Derxomyces huiaensis
Lineage: Eukaryota; Fungi; Basidiomycota; Tremellomycetes; Tremellales; Bulleribasidiaceae
Description: 5.8S rRNA
Rfam family: 5.8S ribosomal RNA
About the family: 5.8S ribosomal RNA (5.8S rRNA) is a component of the large subunit of the eukaryotic ribosome. It is transcribed by RNA polymerase I as part of the 45S precursor that also contains 18S and 28S rRNA.
Source: RNAcentral